GACGAACGCUGGCGGCGUGCUUAACACAUGCAAGUCGAACGGAAAGGCCCUGCUUUUGUGGGGUGCUCGAGUGGCGAACGGGUGAGUAACACGUGAGUAACCUGCCCUUGACUUUGGGAUAACUUCAGGAAACUGGGGCUAAUACCGGAUAGGAGCUCCUGCUGCAUGGUGGGGGUUGGAAAGUUUCGGCGGUUGGGGAUGGACUCGCGGCUUAUCAGCUUGUUGGUGGGGUAGUGGCUUACCAAGGCUUUGACGGGUAGCCGGCCUGAGAGGGUGACCGGCCACAUUGGUACUGAGAUACGGCCCAGACUCCUACGGGAGGCAGCAGUGGGGAAUAUGGCACAAUGGGCGGAAGCCUGAUGCAGCAACGCCGCGUGCGGGAUGACGGCCUUCGGGUUGUAAACCGCUUUCGCCUGUGACGAAGCGUGAGUGACGGUAAUGGGUAAAGAAGCACCGGCUAACUACGUG
RNAcentral lists this ribosomal RNA (468 nucleotides) under uncultured bacterium. RNAcentral's name for it is "partial 16S ribosomal RNA". It matches the Rfam family "Bacterial small subunit ribosomal RNA", at positions 28 to 507 of the family's 1533-position model. The record is from RNAcentral.